GAUACGACUCUCGGCAAUGGAUAUCUCGGCUCUCGCAUCGAUGAAGAGCGCAGCGAAAUGCGAUACGUGGUGCGAAUUGCAGAAUCCCGCGAACCAUCGAGUCUUUGAACGCAAGUUGCGCCCGAGGCCAACCGGCCAAGGGCACGUCUGCCUGGGCGUCAAGC
This 164-nucleotide ribosomal RNA is filed under the name Dendrobium draconis. Its description in RNAcentral is "5.8S ribosomal RNA". It matches the Rfam family "5.8S ribosomal RNA". Rfam says of the family: 5.8S ribosomal RNA (5.8S rRNA) is a component of the large subunit of the eukaryotic ribosome. Lineage: Eukaryota; Viridiplantae; Streptophyta; Magnoliopsida; Asparagales; Orchidaceae. The record is from RNAcentral.